UACGUAGGUGGCGAGCGUUGUCCGGAUUUAUUGGGUUUAAAGGGUGCGUAGGCGUCCUGACAAGUUUUAGGUGAAAUGCCCAGGCUUAACCUGGGAGCUGCCUGAAAAACUGUUGGGAUUGAGUACAGACGAGGUAGGCGGAAUUGACGGUGUAGCGGUGAAAUGCAUAGAUAUCGUCAGGAACACCGAUAGCGAAGGCAGCUUACUAGACUGUAACUGACGCUGAGGCACGAAAGUGUGGGGAUCAAACAGG
This 253-nucleotide ribosomal RNA is filed under the name uncultured bacterium. RNAcentral's name for it is "partial 16S ribosomal RNA". It matches the Rfam family "Bacterial small subunit ribosomal RNA", at positions 524 to 776 of the family's 1533-position model. The record is from RNAcentral.